GAUGAACGCUGGCGGCGUGCUUAACACAUGCAAGUCGAACGAAAAGUGAAGACGGAAACCUUCGGGCGGAAGGCUUUAUUUCGAGUGGCGGCCGGGUGAGUAACGCGUGGGUAACCUGCCUCAUACAGGGGGAUAACAGUUGGAAACGACUGUUAAUACCGCAUAAGACCACAGCACCGCAUGGUGCGGUGGUGAAAACUCGAGUGGUAUGAGACGGACCCCCGUUCGAUUUGCCGGUUGGCGGGGAAACGGCCCACAAAAGGGACGAUCGAUAGCCGAGCUGAGAGGAUGACCGCACACAUUGGGACUGAGACACGGCCCGAACUCCUACGGGAGGCAGCAGUGGGGAAUAUUGCACAAUGGGGGAAACCAUGAUGCAGCGACGCCGGGUGAGUGAAGAAGUAUUUGGGUAUGUAAAGCUCUAUCAGCAGGGAAGAAAAUGACGGUACCUGAGUAAAAAGCCCCGGCUAACUACGUG
This 478-nucleotide ribosomal RNA is filed under the name uncultured bacterium. Its description in RNAcentral is "partial 16S ribosomal RNA". It matches the Rfam family "Bacterial small subunit ribosomal RNA", at positions 28 to 507 of the family's 1533-position model. The record is from RNAcentral.